RNAcentral lists this long non-coding RNA (597 nucleotides) under Nicotiana benthamiana. RNAcentral describes it as "long non-coding RNA (NBEN_LNC016002)". Lineage: Eukaryota; Viridiplantae; Streptophyta; Magnoliopsida; Solanales; Solanaceae. The record is from RNAcentral.
AUACAAGUGUGACCCUCAUGGGGAAUAUGUGCGGCGGUGGCUUCCUGAACUGUCUAGGCUUCCCACUGAAUGGAUACACCACCCGUGGAAUGCACCAGAAUCUGUACUUGAAGCUGCUGGCAUUGAGCUGGGUUCCAAUUAUCCUCUUCCCAUCGUCGAAAUUGAUGCAGCAAAAGUAAGACUAGAACAAGCCCUAUCACAAAUGUGGCAGCACGAAGCAGCUUCACGAGCUGCGAUUGAGAAUGGUAUGGAAGAAGGACACGGUGACUCUGCUGACUCCCCAAUAGCAUUCCCUCAGGCCAUGCAUAUGGAAAUGGAUCACGAACCAGUUAGGAACAAUAACCCCGUUAUAGUUACUGUUCGACGCUAUGAAGAUCAGAUGGUCCCAAGCAUGACAUCGUCUUUGUUCAGAGUUGAUGAUGAAGAAACCUCAGUGAAUAUCAGAAAUUCAGUGGUGGACACUAGAGCAGAAGUUCCGAACGACGUCAAUGUAACUGAAGGUCCUAGGAGAGACACACUCGACCAAGCCGUCACACAACGAGCUCGAACAAACGCCACUCCGCCGCAGUUUAAUUUUGUGGUUGGUAGGAGAAAUUC